RNAcentral lists this ribosomal RNA (588 nucleotides) under Meyerozyma guilliermondii. Its description in RNAcentral is "partial large subunit ribosomal RNA". It matches the Rfam family "Eukaryotic large subunit ribosomal RNA", at positions 68 to 664 of the family's 3401-position model. The record is from RNAcentral. Lineage: Eukaryota; Fungi; Ascomycota; Pichiomycetes; Serinales; Debaryomycetaceae.
ACUGGGCAUGCCUUAGUAGCGGCGAGUGAAGCGGCAAAAGCUCAAAUUUGAAAUCUGGCGCCUUCGGUGUCCGAGUUGUAAUUUGAAGAUUGUAACCUUGGGGUUGGCUCUUGUCUAUGUUUCUUGGAACAGGACGUCACAGAGGGUGAGAAUCCCGUGCGAUGAGAUGCCCAAUUCUAUGUAAGGUGCUUUCGAAGAGUCGAGUUGUUUGGGAAUGCAGCUCUAAGUGGGUGGUAAAUUCCAUCUAAAGCUAAAUAUUGGCGAGAGACCGAUAGCGAACAAGUACAGUGAUGGAAAGAUGAAAAGAACUUUGAAAAGAGAGUGAAAAAGUACGUGAAAUUGUUGAAAGGGAAGGGUUUGAGAUCAGACUCGAUAUUUUGUGAGCCUUGCCUUCGUGGCGGGGUGACCCGCAGCUUAUCGGGCCAGCAUCGGUUUGGGCGGUAGGAUAAUGGCGUAGGAAUGUGACUUUACUUCGGUGAAGUGUUAUAGCCUGCGUUGAUGCUGCCUGCCUAGACCGAGGACUGCGAUUUUAUCAAGGAUGCUGGCAUAAUGAUCCCAAACCGCCCGUCUUGAAMMMAMSGGAMACAA